RNAcentral lists this non-coding RNA (84 nucleotides) under Aspergillus flavus NRRL3357. Lineage: Eukaryota; Fungi; Ascomycota; Eurotiomycetes; Eurotiales; Aspergillaceae. The record is from RNAcentral.
GCCCAGCUGAAGGCAGGCACCUCUACGCGGUGCUGGGGACUAGUACCCGUACAUGUCUUGAUGGUCAGGGAAGCUAAGGUCUGC